GACAGAGGUUGCAAACGUUGUUCGGAAUUACUGGGCAUAAAGCGCACGUAGGCGGUUCGUUAAGUCAUGUGUGAAAUCCCUCGGCUCGACCGAGGAAUUGCGCCUGAUACUGGCGGGCUAGAGAUCGAUAGGGGUGAGUGGAACUCCAGGUGGAGCGGUGAAAUGCGUAGAUAUCUGGAGGAACACCGGUGGCGAAAGCGGCUCACUGGAUCGAUACUGACGCUGAGGUGCGAAAGCUAGGGUAGCAAACGGG
RNAcentral lists this ribosomal RNA (253 nucleotides) under uncultured bacterium. RNAcentral's name for it is "partial 16S ribosomal RNA". It matches the Rfam family "Bacterial small subunit ribosomal RNA", at positions 524 to 776 of the family's 1533-position model. The record is from RNAcentral.